Molecule: long non-coding RNA, 621 nt
Organism: Nelumbo nucifera (sacred lotus)
Lineage: Eukaryota; Viridiplantae; Streptophyta; Magnoliopsida; Proteales; Nelumbonaceae
Source: RefSeq, a predicted model, not a curated record
UAGAUGAUCAAUGUACGUAGGUUGUUAAUUGGAAAAGCCUUUGAGAAUAUUGCUCAUGCUCGAUUUCAGUGUGAUCAUGCCCGCCCGGGCCGCUUGGUUUGAGAGCAGUAUUAGUUUCUCAGUUGACUCUGUAGAGGCUUUCGGUUUCGAGUCUUUUAAAGAUUGGUGGGCUUGGUGGCUAGACAAAGUGCUUUCCUUAACUGAUCCAGAAGAUGAAUAAUGGAAGUGAAGAAAGCUUACCCUCCAUGAGCAACCAGCUGUUCCAGUUCUAAACAAUUGAAAGGAGAUGAUUUUUUGAAAUGCUGGGAGCUGCUCUGGUUUUAAAGCUCUAACUGAUGGCAGUUUCGUCUCUUCUGGGAGCAGUGAUUUUGGUUUUUGGCUUGCAAAUCCUUCUGGAUACUUUGUUUCUGCAAAUUGUGGUCCCUGUAAAGUGGUUUCUGCUUUCUUUGCUGAAGUUUCAGCGGUUUAUGAAUGCUGCUUGGCUGCUAAAAGGCUUGGUUUACAGGAACUUAAUUUGUAAUUUUUUUGUGACUCGAUUAAUGUGGUUGAAGUGCUCUCCUAGAAAUCCUUUUAUUGUGAACCUGAAGCCUGGCAAUAUUUAUAUACUUUUUCAGAUGUGAA